Molecule: ribosomal RNA, 262 nt
Filed under: uncultured bacterium
Lineage: Bacteria
Description: partial 16S ribosomal RNA
Rfam family: Bacterial small subunit ribosomal RNA
Source: RNAcentral
UACGGAGGGGGCUAGCGUUGUUCGGAAUUACUGGGCGUAAAGCGCACGUAGGCGGACUGGAAAGUCAGAGGUGAAAUCCCAGGGCUCAACCUUGGAACUGCCUUUGAAACUCCCGGUCUUGAGGUCGAGAGAGGUGAGUGGAAUUCCGAGUGUAGAGGUGAAAUUCGUAGAUAUUGGGAGGAACACCAGUGGCGAAGGCGGCUCACUGGACCGGAACUGACGCUGAGGCGCGAAAGCGUGGGGAGCAAACGGGGAUUAGAUA